CUUCGGGCUUUACCGACUGGUCCCUGUAUUUAUCCCUAAUCUUGCCUUUGUCUGGAGAUCUAUUUUACCCAGUCUUUAAGAGUAAGUAUACGGUGCUGCCCUGGGAGCUUCAGUGGUCCCAGCCUUGCAGCUGGUGGGGGAGGCUGCCCAGUGGUGGCAGUGGUGUGUCCCUGGCCCGCUGGACUGUAGCUUCUUUACUGCCAAGUCAUCUGUUCAUCCAUCCGUGGAGGUCCACAAUGGCCACCUUCAGCCGCCAGGAAUUUUUCCAGCAGCUCCUGCAGGACUGUCUCCUGCCUACUGCCCAGCAGGGCCUUGACCAGAUCUGGCUGCUCCUUGCCAUCUGUCUUGGCUGCCGCCUCCUCUGGAGGCUCGGAUUGCCAUCCUACCUGAAGCACGCAAGUACUGUGGCAGGUGGGUUCUUCAGCCUCUACCACUUCUUCGAGCUGCACAUGGUCUGGGUCGUGCUGCUCAGCCUUCUGUGCUACCUCGCGCUCUUCCUCUGCCGACAUUCCUCCCAUCGCGGUGUCUUCAUCUCCGUCACCAUCCUCGCCUACCUGCUCGUGGGUGAGACGUACAUGGUGGACACUGUGGUGUGGCACAGGAUGCGAGGGGCCCAGAUGAUUGUGGCCAUGAAGGCGGUGUCUCUGGGCUUUGACUUGGAUCGGGGUGAGGUGAGCGUUGUGCCCUCACCCGUGGAGUUCAUGGGCUACCUCUGCUUUGUGGGCACCGUCAUCUUUGGGCCCUGGAUAUCCUUCCACAGGUACUUAGAGGCCGUCCAAGGCCGCCCACUGAGCUGCCGGUGGCUGCAGAAGGUGGCCCAGAGCCUGUUACUGGCCCUUCUGUGCCUGGUGCUGUCCACCUGUGUGGGCCCCUAUCUCUUCCCUUACUUCAUCCCCCUUGAUGGUGACCACCUCCUUCGCAAGUGGCUGCGAGCCUAUGAGAGUGCCAUCUCCUUCCGCUUGAGCAACUAUUUUGUGGGCUUUCUAUCCGAGGCCACAGCCACAUUGGCAGGGACCGGCUUCACCAAGGAGAAGGAUCACCUGGAAUGGGACCUGACCGUCUCUAAGCCACUGAACGUGGAGCUGCCCCGGUCCAUGGUGGAAGUUGUCACAAGCUGGAACCUGCCCAUGUCUUGCUGGCUGAAUAACUAUGUUUUCAAGAAUGCUCUCCACCUGGGGACCUUCUCAGCCGUGCUGGUCACCUAUACAGCCAGUGCCCUCCUGCACGGCUUUAGUUUCCACCUGGCUGCGGUGCUGCUGUCUCUGGCGUUUAUCACUUACGUGGAGCACAUCCUCCGAAAGUGCCUGGCUCGGAUCCUCAGUGCCUGCAUCUUGUCGAGAAGGUGCCCGCCAGACUGUUCACACCAGUAUCGUUCGGGCCUGGGGGUGCGAGCCUUAAACCUGCUCUUUGGGGCCCUGGCCAUCUUCCACCUGGCCUACCUGGGCUCCCUGUUUGAUGUUGAUGUGGACGACACCACAGAGGAGCAGGGCUACGGCAUGGCAUACACGGUCCACAAGUGGUCAGAGCUCAGCUGGGCCAGUCACUGGGUCACUUUUGGAUGCUGGAUCUUCUACUGUCUAAUAGGCUGAGACACAUCUGAGGCAGCUGCCUCAAGAGCCCUCCUCAGGGUGGUGGGGAUGAGGGAAGGCCCUCUCUAAUUUUUGAUCCUUCUCCAUUCUUCACACUGCCCCCCAUACCCCUACACACACACACACACACAUUCAUACACACACACAUCAUUUCCAUACCUUCCAAUCCCCACUUCCACCACAGGACGGGAAGGGAGUGGUCCCUGUUGCGGCCUAGGGGUGGGGAGAGCCUGGAGAACAGAGAACAGGAGAUCCAGGGCCUUCCUGCCUGUCUUGUCUCUUUGUGUAUACAGUUUGUUAUCAUCAAGUAAAUUUGGAAGUUAUUUUUUUUUUAAGAGUAAGCAUAGAAAGUCUCAUGUUCUCAUAAUGUUGAGGAAUUCUGAAGAGACUGAGACCCAGGUUUUGGUCCGUUUGGGGAAAGUUUUCCUUCAGUGGUUUUAAAUUGCGUCGGAUUACCACUGUGGGCUUAGUGGGGCACUUCAAAGUGGAGUAGAUGGUUCUAUUUAAUAUUUGCUCUGAAUCUUUGGCACAUUUUGGGGGGAGGGAGCCCAGUUUAAAAUAAAAUGUAUGAGCAGCAGUUUUGAAACAGCUGAAUGAGGAGCUUGGCAAGUUCUCCUUCCAAAAAAGCAAUUGUUAAACUUAACAAAAUUGUAAACAAACAAGCAAAAACCCAUUUACGGUCUCUGGAAAUUAACCAAAGGACAUAUAUUGAGAGGCAUUUAUUCGAACAAAGCUAGUGAAUUUCAGUAUAAACAGUGAUGAUCAUCUAGCACGUUAGGAGAUGCUCCCACCUCCUCCCUCAGCUCUGGUUCCUCAAGUUCCCUGGGCGUGCCAUGAGGACUGGCAGCUCUGUUGUCCUGUCAGAGGGAACUGAUUUUAUUUAGAGCAGCACUUGGAAAAACACAUGCCCAGGGCUGUUACGAAAACAAUAGCAGUCUCUGUGGCAGACAGAGACUCUGGGAAAGCUAAUGUUGCAGGGAACAAGAAAAUGGCAGACUGGCCAGAAAUUUAUCAGGGAAAUCUAGGGAAAGAGAUAGCUAAAGUGAGCCCUACUAUUCAUAUCACACUUAGCUCUUAGGGUCCAAAAGGCUGUGUACAUGUACAAGGCUACACCUGUUCAGGAGAGGACAGAGGACCCUUGAAAGCUACUGGCCCCUGACUGAAUGCAGAGUAGACUGAUAAACUUCCUACACUUUGAAAGUAUCCCUCCAAGUCACACACAGACCCCAUGGCAAAGGAUUUGAAAGCCUUCUGGCUCAAGGUGUUGAAGCAAAACCUCUGACCAGUCAUUGGCUGACCACUAAGUUAUGCUGACCUGGGACAGCCCCCUAGAAAGCAAAGCUUGAACAACAACAAAAAAUAAAAACAAGAACAACAACAACAAAAAAAGCAGUGACCUCAGAGUUUGGACACUGAUGGGGAAACAGACUCCAGAAAAUUAGGCAAGUCACUAAGUGGACAAACAGAAAACAGGCAACAUGAAGCUGUAGGCAGAAUUUCGAUUUGCUACUAAUUUGGAGUAUUUCAUUUAAAAUACCCAGUUUUUAAGGAAAUUAUAAGACAUGAAAAUAAGCACAAAAGUGUGACUGUUAUUCAGGGAAAAGCAAGCAAUAGAAACUUGGAGUGAGCUCAGUGGCAAAUGAUGGUUCCUAGUAACAAAAAGAGCAGCUUCUUUUUCAAUGUAUUCAAAGAACUAAAGGAAAAAUUCUUCCUUUUGCCAAUGACUCUUCAAAGAGAGGAUUAAUAAAGAGAUUUGAGACUUCC
This is a non-coding RNA of Odocoileus virginianus texanus, 3353 nucleotides long. Lineage: Eukaryota; Metazoa; Chordata; Mammalia; Artiodactyla; Cervidae. The record is from RefSeq and is a predicted model, not a curated record.